RNAcentral lists this microRNA (21 nucleotides) under Brachypodium distachyon (stiff brome). RNAcentral's name for it is "bdi-miR7742-3p". The record is from miRBase by way of RNAcentral. Lineage: Eukaryota; Viridiplantae; Streptophyta; Magnoliopsida; Poales; Poaceae.
UGUGUGUUCGAGUGAAUGAGU